GACGAACGCUGGCGGCGUGCUUAACACAUGCAAGUCGAACGGAAAGGCCCUGCUUUUGUGGGGUGCUCGAGUGGCGAACGGGUGAGUAACACGUGAGUAACCUGCCCUUGACUUUGGGAUAACUUCAGGAAACUGGGGCUAAUACCGGAUAGGAGCUCCUGCUGCAUGGUGGGGGUUGGAAAGUUUCGGCGGUUGGGGAUGGACUCGCGGCUUAUCAGCUUGUUGGUGGGGUAGUGGCUUACCAAGGCUUUGACGGGUAGCCGGCCUGAGAGGGUGACCGGCCACAUUGGGACUGAGAUACGGCCCAGACUCCUACAGGAGGCAGCAGUGGGGAAUAUUGCACAAUGGGCGGAAGCCUGAUGCAGCAACGCCGCGUGCGGGAUGACGGCCUUCGGGUUGUAAACCGCUUUCGCCUGUGACGAAGCGUGAGUGACGGUAAUGGGUAAAGAAGCACCGGCUAACUACGCG
This 468-nucleotide ribosomal RNA is filed under the name uncultured bacterium. RNAcentral's name for it is "partial 16S ribosomal RNA". It matches the Rfam family "Bacterial small subunit ribosomal RNA", at positions 28 to 507 of the family's 1533-position model. The record is from RNAcentral.